RNAcentral lists this ribosomal RNA (263 nucleotides) under uncultured bacterium. RNAcentral describes it as "partial 16S ribosomal RNA". It matches the Rfam family "Bacterial small subunit ribosomal RNA", at positions 524 to 786 of the family's 1533-position model. The record is from RNAcentral.
UACGUAGGGGGCAAGCGUUAUCCGGAUUUACUGGGUGUAAAGGGAGCGUAGGCGGCAUGGCAAGUCAGAUGUGAAAGGCAUGGGCUCAACCCGUGGACUGCAUUUGAAACUGUCAGGCUUGAGUGCAGGAGAGGCAAGUGGAAUUCCUAGUGUAGCGGUGAAAUGCGUAGAUAUUAGGAGGAACACCAGUGGCGAAGGCGACUUGCUGGACUGUAACUGACGCUGAGGCUCGAAAGCGUGGGGAGCGAACAGGAUUAGAUACC